GCCUUUGUGGUGUAGUGGUCUGCAUGUUCGACGCGUAACCGAGAGGUCCGUGGUUCGAUUCCCGGCGAAGGCA
RNAcentral lists this transfer RNA (73 nucleotides) under Stegodyphus mimosarum. It matches the Rfam family "tRNA". From Rfam's summary of the family: Transfer RNA (tRNA) molecules are approximately 80 nucleotides in length. Their secondary structure includes four short double-helical elements and three loops (D, anti-codon, and T loops). The record is from Rfam by way of RNAcentral. Lineage: Eukaryota; Metazoa; Arthropoda; Arachnida; Araneae; Eresidae.